Long non-coding RNA from Phycodurus eques (leafy seadragon), 205 nucleotides. RefSeq lists it as uncharacterized. The record is from RefSeq and is a predicted model, not a curated record. The transcript has 3 exons. NCBI's taxonomy places the organism in Eukaryota, Metazoa, Chordata, Actinopteri, Syngnathiformes, Syngnathidae.
GAUAGAUGUCGUGAGGGAAGACAUGAGGGCAGUUGGUGUUAGAGAGGAGGAUGCAGGAGAUAGACUGAUGGUCCACUCAGCGUUUCGCACAACCCUGUGGUGCGGGGUUGUGACCUCUGGACAUGACCCUCAAACAUCUCAGACACCCGAAGUCACGUGUACAAGCCACAUGAGUACCUCAUUCUUUGACAAUGCUCUGUGACCU